AGUUUUGGCUACAAACUCUGGUCCGAUCAUGAUGGCAGAGUGAUUACAGGUAGACUUGCGAGCUCCAUUCGUUUCUUCGUCUUCGGUUCUUAGGGCAACCUCGCUGCAGAUCCUGUACCAAAAGAAGAGCUUAAAUCCAGGAAUUGAGAAUUUGAUUCUUCGAAACCCGUUGGAGAACAUGAAAAUAAAAACAUUGGCUUCUUUGUCGAGUUUCUUCAUAACGAUAGAACUCACAAUACAGUAUCUUUGGAAGUGUUCUACACUGUAUUGAUGUCUCCCACGUCCAAAAUAAAUAUACAACUAAGACGAUGAUGUUUUAUUGCAAGACCUAACGUAUUCUCGUCCCAGUUGAUAAGGAAAGAGUUAUUGAUUUUAAUUUUUAGCCACGCUAACUCCAAGUUUUUAACUAUUAAAUGCAAAGAAUCUGAUUUUGCUCGAAUUGAUUGAUAUGGGGAGUUUUGCUAAACCAGAAAAUGCUUUGAAACGAGCUGAAGAGUUGAUUAAUGUUGGACAGAAGCAAGAUGCUUUGCAAACACUUCAUGACCUUUUCACCUCAAGGAGACAUAGAGCAUGGCAAAAGCCACUUGAAAGGAGCAUGUUUAAGUAUAUAGAGCUGUGUGUAGACUUGCGCAGAGGUCGGUUUGCCAAGGAUGGACUCAUUCAGUAUCGUAUCAUAUGUCAGCAAGUAAAUGUUGGUUCUUUGGAGGAGGUGAUCAAGCAUUUCAUGCAUCUAUCAACCGAGCGAGCCGAACAAGCUCGUACCCAAGCACAAGCCUUGGAAGAAGCUCUUGAUGUUGAAGAUCUAGAAGCAGAUAAAAGGCCGGAAGACUUAAUGCUAAGCUAUGUGAGUGGAGAGAAAGGAAAAGAUAGAUCUGAUCGGGAGCUUGUGACACCAUGGUUUAAGUUUCUUUGGGAAACGUAUAGAACAGUGCUUGAAAUAUUACGAAACAACUCAAAAUUGGAAGCACUAUAUGCGAUGACGGCACAUCGAGCUUUCCAGUUUUGUAAGCAAUACAAACGAACAACAGAGUUUCGCAGGCUGUGUGAGAUCAUAAGGAAUCAUUUGGCAAAUCUCAAUAAGUAUCGAGACCAGAGGGACCGGCCUGAUCUAUCAGCUCCAGAAAGCUUGCAACUGUAUGCUGACACAAGAUUUGAGCAGCUAAAAGUUGCCACUGAGCUUGAACUCUGGCAGGAAGCCUUUCAAUCUAUUGAAGAUAUUCACGGACUGAUGUGUAUGGUUAAGAAGACGCCCAAAUCAUCCUUGAUGGCUGUUUAUUAUGCUAAGCUAACUGAAAUAUUUUGGAUUUCUUCUAGCCAUUUAUAUCAUGCUUAUGCAUGGUUCAGGCUUUUCUUAUUACAGAAAAGCUUUAAUAAGAACCUGAGCCAGAAGGAUUUGCAAUUGAUAGCAUCAUCUGUAGUAUUGGCUGCCCUUUCAGUAAAUACUUAUGAUCACACCCAUGGUGCAUCUCAUUUGGAUAUAGAGAAUGAGAAACAGAGGAACUUGAGAAUGGCUAAUCUCAUAGGAUUUAAUCUUGAGUCUAAAUUUGAGAGCAAAGAUGUGCUCUCAAGGUCAUCCCUCCUUUCUGAACUAGUUUCCAAAGGUGUAAUGUCUUGUGUGAUUCAAGAAGUGAAGGACCUUUAUCAUCUUUUAGAACAUGAAUUUUUCCCUCUAGAUCUUGCUUCAAAAGUUCAGCCGUUGUUAGCCAAAAUCUCAAAGUUUGGGGGCAAGCUUUUGUCGGCUCCUUCUGUCCCUGAAUUGCAAUUGUCUCAAUAUGUUCCUGCAAUGGAAAAGCUUACCACCUUGAGAUUGUUGCAGCAGGCAUCCCAGGUGUACCAGAUGAUGAAGAUUGAAAGUUUAUCUAGGAUGACUCCAUUUUUUGAUAUUUCUGUUGUGGAAAAGAUAUCUGUGGAUGCAGUCAAGUAUAAUUUUGUGGCCUUGAAAGUGGACCAUAUGAAGGGUGUUGUUAUUUUUGAUAACACGAGUCUUGAGUCAGAGAUUUUAAGAGAUCACUUGGCCACCCUUGCAGAAACUUUAAAUAAAGCUAGAGCAAUGAUUUAUCCUCCUGCUAGAAAUGCCUCAAAAAUUGGUGAAUUGCUUCCCAGUUUAACUGAGAUUGUGGAUAAGGAACAUAAGAGACUACUUGCUCGAAAAUCCCUCAUUGAGAAACGCAAAGAAGAAGAAGAGCGCAAACUUCUGGAGAAGGAACGUCUGGAAGAGUCAAAGAGGAUGGAACUACAAAAGAUAACUGAGGAAGCAGAAAGAAAAAGACUGGCUUCUGAGUAUGAGGAGAGGAAGAAUGAAAGGAUACGUAGGGAAAUAGAGGAGCGGGAACUUGCAGAAGCCCAAGCUCUUCUUCAGGAAGCUGCACAACGUAUUAAAUGGAAAGGAAAGAAGCCGGUCAUAGAGGGAGAAAAACUUACGAAGCAAAGUGUGAUGGAGUUGACUUUGAGUGAGCAACUCCGAGAAAGACAGGAAAUGGAAAAGAAAUUGCAGAAAAUUGCCAAAACCAUGGAUUAUUUGGAGAGAGCAAAAAGAGAAGAGGCUGCUCCCCUGGUUGAAGCUGCAUAUCAACAGCGUUUAGUGGAGGAGAAGCUAUUACAUGAACACGAGCAACAGCAAGAUAUUGAACUUAGCAAACAGCGCCAUGCUACAGAGAAAAAGGAGAAGGAGAGGCUGGCUCCAAUUAACCACAAUAAGGAAAUAUUUCAAGAAAGGGUUGUCAGUUGCCGGGAAGAAGAAUAUGCCAGAUUGAGAGGGGAGAGAGAGGACCGAAUCUCACAAAUCUUGCAUUCCAGGAGACAAGAGAGAGAGAAGAUGAGGAAGUUGAAGUUUUAUUUGAGUUUAGAAGAGGAAAGGCAGAGAAAAUUGCAUGAGGAGGAAGAAGCACAGAAGCGCGAAGAAGCCGAGAGGCGAAGGAAGGAGGAGGCCGAGCGCAAAGCAAAAUUGGACAAGAUUGCAGAAAAGCAGAGGCAAAGAGAACAAGAACUGGAAGAAAAAGAGAGGCAAAGGAGAGAAGCGCUUUUGAGGAGGUCCACUGAGGGGCCUUUAAAGCCUUCUGAGCCGCCCACUGUGGCCACCCCAACGGAGUUGGUAUCUGCUGCUCCAGCUGUUGCUGUAGCUGCACCAGCACCAGCACCAGCACCUGGAAAAUUUGUCCCAAGGUUCAGGCGGGAGAGAACUGAGAGCUCCGGGCAGGCUCAACCUCCAGAAUCUGAUCGUUGGGGUGGAGGCAGACAGGAUGACCGAAUAUCCCAAGCUGAUGAUAAGUGGCGUAGGGAUGACCGCAGAUCCUCUGGUGGGUCGUCAUUUGGUGGGGGUGGCAGUUCAAGGUCUACUUCGACAUGGUCAUCAUCCAGGAUUCCCCCUCGUGGAUCUGAACGCUGAUUUUCAAUUAAAGAGGCCAACUUUGGAGGUUUAGCAGCUGAUUUUAACAGCCGGCUUUGGAGAUUUUGCAGCUGAUUUAACAGCCCACUUUGGAGGUUUAGCAAUUAGGCUUUUCCUGCCAAAAUGUGGUUGUGGUUCUUUUCUGAAUUUCGCUUCAUGUGCUGGGUUGUUUAUUUAAUUUUUCAGUUCUUAUAUUUAUUUAUUCUUAAUUAAGAUUUUACUAGUUUGCUUAAUUCAUUUGGGAUUUUGUUCCCAGCAUGUCUAGCUUGGUUUAAUGAAUUUUGUUCUGUACGAUG
Molecule: RNA transcript, 3681 nt
Organism: Juglans microcarpa x Juglans regia
Lineage: Eukaryota; Viridiplantae; Streptophyta; Magnoliopsida; Fagales; Juglandaceae
Gene name: eukaryotic translation initiation factor 3 subunit A-like
Exons: 16
Source: RefSeq, a predicted model, not a curated record